Molecule: ribosomal RNA, 403 nt
Filed under: uncultured bacterium
Lineage: Bacteria
Description: partial 16S ribosomal RNA
Rfam family: Bacterial small subunit ribosomal RNA
Source: RNAcentral
AUUGAACGCUAGCGGGAUGCUUUACACAUGCAAGUCGAACGAGUGGCGGACGGGUGAGUACUGUAUGGGGACUGCCCGCUAGAGGGGGAUAACUACUGGAAACGGUAGCUAAUAACGCAUACUAUCGGAUAACCCAUAUGGGAUUAGAUGGUAGGUGAGGUAAUGGCUCACCUAGGCGACGACCCCUAGCUGGUCUGAGAGGAUGAUCAGCCACACUGGGACGGAGCCACGGCCCAGACUCCUACGGAGGAAGCAGGUGGGAAUUUUGCACAAGUGGCGCAAGCCUGAUGCAGCCAUGCCGCGUGUAUGAAGAAGGCUCUAGGGUUGUAAAGUACUUUCAGUCGGGAGGCGUUACCGACAGAAGAAGCACCGGCUAACUCCGUGCAAGCAGCCGCGGUAAUAC